This 132-nucleotide small nucleolar RNA is filed under the name Dasypus novemcinctus (nine-banded armadillo). RNAcentral describes it as "Small nucleolar RNA SNORA31 (ENSDNOG00000039245.1)". The record is from RNAcentral. Lineage: Eukaryota; Metazoa; Chordata; Mammalia; Cingulata; Dasypodidae.
AUGCAUCUCUGACGGACCUGAAACAGUUAAUAUCUGCGGCUGAAGUUUCCACUACAGAUGGAAGAAAAAGAAGGUCCUCGUGCUUUCUGUCUGUCUGGUUAUGGCAGCCAAGCUUGAGUGGGGAAUACAGGA